UCGAAAAUAGUUAAUUUUUGGACCAUUUUACCCCCGGUUCCGAAACCUAUCAAUAUGGGUGUCAUUGGACUCCUUGUGACGUGUAUGUUUCAUUGUUGAUAGUGGGUUGUCAUUCCGGGCGCUGAAUUCGAGAGUUGCUUGUCCGGUGGAGGUAUUCGAGUGCGGCUUCGGCAAUUGAGAUACUAGUCGGGGUACCCCACGUGGCAGUUAAUAUUCUAGCGGAUUGUGUAUUCUCAGAUUAGUGGUGAGGUCCCAGAAUUCGGAUCGUCACUAGUCUAUCUUUUAUUUUUCAGUCUUUUGUAUCAUUCAGAGACUUAUGUUGUAUCUUCAUAUUCGAACCUUGUAUUAGAUGCUCUUUAUACUUAUGACACCAGGUUUUGGGAUAA
Long non-coding RNA from Solanum dulcamara, 386 nucleotides. RefSeq lists it as uncharacterized. Lineage: Eukaryota; Viridiplantae; Streptophyta; Magnoliopsida; Solanales; Solanaceae. The transcript is spliced from 2 exons. The record is from RefSeq and is a predicted model, not a curated record.